Long non-coding RNA from Balaenoptera musculus (blue whale), 699 nucleotides. RefSeq lists it as uncharacterized. NCBI's taxonomy places the organism in Eukaryota, Metazoa, Chordata, Mammalia, Artiodactyla, Balaenopteridae. The record is from RefSeq and is a predicted model, not a curated record. The transcript has 2 exons.
GUCUCAUCGGCUAGGGGACCGGGGCAGACCCCCAGAGGAGAGGCGUCCUCCUCAGCCGGCCGACGCUGGGCGCGGCCGCUCUAAGCCAGUCAGCCGACCCGGAGCCCGCGGGGCGGGGGGGGGGGCCCUGCAGCGCGCGUCACGUGUCCGGCGUGUGUAGCCCCAGUUGACUCCGAGGAAACGCGCGCAGCCCAGCAUCCAGGCUCGGUCGCGCCCCGCCUCCCUGCAGACACCGCCCUGCCCCCGCCCGCCUGGAGCCCCAGCUGGCACUCAGCGGGUCCCUUUCCAAUUUGCGGCACAUUCAGGAGUUCGGUAUUCCCACGGGAAGAGCUCGUUGCCAUGGCGAUGCGAGCCUCCCAACCCCGGACCGCCCGGGAGGCCGAGUCCUCCCCCAGCACGGCCCGCCCCCGUCCGCUGGAGAGGGUCGCGGCGUGGGGGAGGGCGCGUCAAUGACGGACCCAGGUGGCUGCCCAGGGGAAAGCUGCAAGCGCAUCACCGACUGGCCUGGAAAGCCUUUCAUCUCUGCUCCAGCAGCAGCAGCUCUUUGAUGAAUUGUGUCUCGUGGCUUUGGGGCCUCCAGCCACACCGUGCUGUAAAUCCCUGGGUGCCUGCUGGCUCCUAUCUGGGGCUCCCCCUUCCCUCCUCCUGCUGCCUCAAGACUCAGGGACUUGAAGUCGCAAUAAACCUUGAUUUUUCCAA